This 254-nucleotide ribosomal RNA is filed under the name uncultured bacterium. RNAcentral describes it as "partial 16S ribosomal RNA". It matches the Rfam family "Bacterial small subunit ribosomal RNA", at positions 524 to 776 of the family's 1533-position model. The record is from RNAcentral.
UACGUAGGGUGCGAGCGUUUGUCCGGAAUUACUGGGCGUAAAGAGCUCGUAGGUGGUUUGUCGCGUUGUUCGUGAAAACUCACAGCUUAACUGUGGGCGUGCGGGCGAUACGGGCAGACUGGAGUACUGCAGGGGAGACUGGAAUUCCUGGUGUAGCGGUGGAAUGCGCAGAUAUCAGGAGGAACACCGGUGGCGAAGGCGGGUCUCUGGGCAGUAACUGACGCUGAGGAGCGAAAGCGUGGGGAGCGAACAGG